GAUGAACGCUGGCGGCGUGCCUAAUACAUGCAAGUCGAGCGAACAGAUAAGGAGCUUGCUCCCUUGACGUUAGCGGCUGACGGGUGAGUAACACGUGGGUAACCUACCUAUAAGACUGGAAUAACUCCGGGAAACCGGGGCUAAUGCCGGAUAACAUUUAGAACCGCAUGGUUCUAAAGUGAAAGAUGGUUUUGCUAUCACUUAUAGAUGGACCCGCGCCGUAUUAGCUAGUUGGUAAGGUAACGGCUUACCAAGGCAACGAUACGUAGCCGACCUGAGAGGGUGAUCGGCCACACUGGAACUGAGACACGGUCCAGACUCCUACGGGAGGCAGCAGUAGGGAAUCUUCCGCAAUGGGCGAAAGCCUGACGGAGCAACGCCGCGUGAGUGAUGAAGGUCUUCGGAUCGUAAAACUCUGUUAUUAGGGAAGAACAAAUGUGUAAGUAACUGUGCACGUCUUGACGGUACCUAAUCAGAAAGCCACGGCUAACUACGUG
This 497-nucleotide ribosomal RNA is filed under the name uncultured bacterium. RNAcentral describes it as "partial 16S ribosomal RNA". It matches the Rfam family "Bacterial small subunit ribosomal RNA", at positions 28 to 507 of the family's 1533-position model. The record is from RNAcentral.